GAUGAACGCUGGCGGCGUGCCUAAUACAUGCAAGUCGAGCGAACAGACGAGGAGCUUGCUCCUCUGACGUUAGCGGCGGACGGGUGAGUAACACGUGGAUAACCUACCUAUAAGACUGGGAUAACUUCGGGAAACCGGAGCUAAUACCGGAUAAUAUAUUGAACCGCAUGGUUCAAUAGUGAAAGACGGUUUUGCUGUCACUUAUAGAUGGAUCCGCGCCGCAUUAGCUAGUUGGUAAGGUAACGGCUUACCAAGGCGACGAUGCGUAGCCGACCUGAGAGGGUGAUCGGCCACCCUGGAACUGAGAAACGGUACAGACUCCUACGGGAGGCAGCAGUAGAGAAUCUUACGCAAUGGGCGAAGGCCUGACGGAGCAACGCCGCGUGAAUGAUGAAGGUCUUCGGAUCCUAAAACUCUGUUAUUAGGAAAGAACAAAUGUGUAAGUAACUAUGAACGUCUUGACGGUACCUAAUCAGAAAGCCACGGCUAACUACGUG
Molecule: ribosomal RNA, 497 nt
Filed under: uncultured bacterium
Lineage: Bacteria
Description: partial 16S ribosomal RNA
Rfam family: Bacterial small subunit ribosomal RNA
Source: RNAcentral